UAAGUCAGAACCGUGCUAGAAACGAUGAUGUUGGUCCCGCACAUAUUAGCUGUGUUAAAAUAGAGCUUUGCUCGUGAACCAAAUCAGACAGACGUGGGUAUUGCAGUGGAAAUCUGUGGUAUCUAGUUUGUGAAUUGUAAUUACCAUAUGGGCGGGGGUGAAUCCUUUGCAGACGACUUGAAUGGGAACGGGGUACUGUAAGCAGUAGAGUAGCCUUGUUGCUACGAUCUGCUGAGGUUAAGCCCUUGUUCUAAAGAUUUGU
Molecule: ribosomal RNA, 262 nt
Filed under: Rhizoctonia solani
Lineage: Eukaryota; Fungi; Basidiomycota; Agaricomycetes; Cantharellales; Ceratobasidiaceae
Description: partial 28S rRNA
Rfam family: Eukaryotic large subunit ribosomal RNA
Source: RNAcentral